AGAGUUUGAUCCUGGCUCAGAUUGAACGCUGGCGGCAUGCUUUACACAUGCAAGUCGUGCGGCAGCGCGGGGGCAACCCUGGCGGCGAGCGGCGAACGGGUGAGGAAUACAUCGGAACGUACCCCGGAGUGGGGGAUAACCCAGCGAAAGUUGGACUAAUACCGCAUAUGCUCUGAGGAGGAAAGCAGGGGACUUCGCAAGAGGCCUUGCGCUCUGGGAGCGGCCGAUGUCCGAUUAGCUAGUUGUGGGGUAAUGGCUCACCAAGGCGACGAUCGGUAGCUGGUCUGAGAGGAUGAUCAGCCACACUGGGACUGAGA
RNAcentral lists this ribosomal RNA (317 nucleotides) under uncultured beta proteobacterium. RNAcentral describes it as "bacterial SSU rRNA". It matches the Rfam family "Bacterial small subunit ribosomal RNA", at positions 8 to 324 of the family's 1533-position model. Lineage: Bacteria; Pseudomonadati; Pseudomonadota; Betaproteobacteria. The record is from RNAcentral.